GCAGUCAUGUCCAUUACCGAGAGAUCUCUUGUAGUCACUUCAUGAUAGCUCACUGUCUCAAGAAGGUGAGCAUUUGGGUUAUGCCUGGGGUCUGCAUCGUACACACCAUCAACAUUUGUUGCUUUAAGCACUACCUCUGCAUUAACUGUUUGCAUAAUAGCAGGAAGAAAAUGUCAGUCUGUUAGGUUAAACAAUUUUUACUGAAUGAAACAAUGCUGUCCAUCUAAAAGGCCAGUCUAGGAAAGGUAAGUUUAAGCUCACACUAAUAGCAUGUUUCUACAGGCAAACUAGACCUUGUGAUUCAUGAUUACUUAUGUAAAUAUGUGACACGCAACUCUCCUGCGGCGUUCGAGAUUACUUAUGUAAAUAUGUACGAGUUAAUGAAAAUACACUCUAACACAAGUUUUGUACAAGUCCCAGCUUGUGGCAGAAAACCG
RNAcentral lists this long non-coding RNA (437 nucleotides) under Setaria italica (foxtail millet). Its description in RNAcentral is "long non-coding RNA (SITA_LNC002724)". Lineage: Eukaryota; Viridiplantae; Streptophyta; Magnoliopsida; Poales; Poaceae. The record is from RNAcentral.